Molecule: non-coding RNA, 1108 nt
Organism: Prunus mume (Japanese apricot)
Lineage: Eukaryota; Viridiplantae; Streptophyta; Magnoliopsida; Rosales; Rosaceae
Source: RefSeq, a predicted model, not a curated record
UUCCUACUCUGCGCAGCGCACAUCUCCUCUCCCAAAUCUGAGCCUUGACCUCUUUGCCAUUGAUAUCCAUGCUCUGUGUCUGAAACUCCACCCCAAUUGUGGCCUUGGAGUGUGCAUUGAACUCGUUGCGAGCAUAGUGAGACAGCAAGUUCGAUUUCCCCUUCUCUGGUUUUGCACAGCACAAGCAAUAGAAGGACGAUUCUUUCUUCUGUUUUUUAAAGAGACACACGACAGAAAUUGUGGAAGGAAGAUUAUUUUUUGCAAUUGCAAACUCAGAGAUGUGAAGGUGGCUAUUUAUAAAAAAGAAGGCAAGCAACUUUAUGAAGAUUCGGAAUUUUUUAAUGCGGUGCAUGAGGUUUUAUUGCAAAGAUGGACCAAAAGCAACACUCCACUCCAUUGCCUUGCACAUUCUUUAAAUCCAAGGUAUUAUACUACCGAAUGACUUGUUUCAAAUCGUGUUGCUCCGCAUCAAGAUCAAGACAUUACAUUACAAAGGCAAAAAUGCUUUGAGCGACUCUUUCCUAAUGAUUUGGAUAGAAUGCAUGCUAGAGAAGAGUAUGCCGCUUUUUCAGGUGGAAUUGACCAUUUUUCAAAUGCGGAUUCUUUAAUUGACAGAGGUCGUAUGCAACCGGUGAAAUGGUGGAUUGUUUAUGGAGCUUUUUCUCCAAUCAUUCAAAGUUUGGCUUUGCGGUUACUUGGUCAACCUUGUUCCUCCUCUUGUUGUGAAAGAAAUUGGAGUACAUAUAAUUUUGUACAUUCUUUUAGGAGGAACAAGAUAGCACCACAAAGAGCCGAAGACUUGGUGUUCGUGCAUAAUAAUCUCCGCUUCUAUCAAGGAAGAUGUCUAAUUACACAGAAGGUGAGAGUAAGAUGUGGGAUGUUGGUGAGGAUGGAUUUGAUACUAUAAACUUGGAAAAUGCGUUUGUGCUUGAAAUUGCAAACCUUUCACUUGAUGAACUGGAAUUAGAGGGCGUGUUGUUUUCAAAUAACAACAAUGAAGACAUAGAUGCUUGAAGAAGAUUGAGAAUUAGAUCAUUUAUGUUUUAUUUUGUGAUGUAUUAAUUAUUAUGUAUGGAUGAUGAACACGAGUUUUUUAUUUUGUGAUGUA